Molecule: long non-coding RNA, 951 nt
Organism: Limulus polyphemus (Atlantic horseshoe crab)
Lineage: Eukaryota; Metazoa; Arthropoda; Merostomata; Xiphosura; Limulidae
Exons: 2
Source: RefSeq, a predicted model, not a curated record
AGCAUGUUUGAUGGGACAGGGAUUCAAACUUGCGACCCUCAGAUUGCGAGUCGAGUGCCGUAACCACCUGGCCAUGCCAGGCCCAUUUUACAAAAGACUUGUAUUAUAAACAUUCCUGAACCAAGCUCUCAAGAGUUCUGUAACUGGAGAUUACGUUCUCAAGCCUUGAUACAAAGUAGUAGUAUAUCAAUAGCGUGAAAGCAGGACAUUGGAAUUACUCCAUUGAGUGGCAGAUUCUGAGCAGAAACUUGAGAAGACGUAGUAUUCAUACCAUCUUUGUGCAUUAUACUUUUUAAUAAAGAUGAGCUCAAAGAUGUUUAUUCCAGUAGCCUAACGUAACGAUAACUAUGUUGGUUUACCUAUUGGUAAGAUAAAACCAGUGUCCUAGUAUGUAUAUAAUGGUACUAAUAGGUUAAUAGUGUCACAGUCGUGGCUACUGUCUAAAUCUUUUGAUCGUUCUCUUUAACAUUUUGAAAUAAUUUGUCAUUGGAUGUAAGAGUUAUUACAAGGUCAAGAGGGAUGGAGAUGUUGAUGAGUUUAAUGAGAUGAGUUUUACAUAUAAUAAUCACGUGCAUGUAAAGCAAAAUUUACUGUUCUCUAUUUCUAGUUCUUACUGACUAAAACUUGGUUUUUAACCAUAAGUUGUUUACAUUACAGUUAGCCGUUCAACGACACGUAUUGCACAAAAACUUUGUGAAAAACAUUAAAAAAAAUUAACUCUACAGUUUCGUACUGUACGUUUCCGAAUGUUUUUGUGAAUAUGAAAAAAAUUGAUUUCGAUAUUAUGUGUAAUACUGGAUACAACCUAUCGAGUGAAGUGGCGAGAUUUCUAACUUGGGAAGUGUUUUCAACUCUAUUUUCUUGGUUGUGGCUUCCUUAAAUCCUUAUUCUUAUUUGGAAUAACAGUUUAAGUAGAAAUUAUAGCUUUAUUAGCACACACACACACACACA